RNAcentral lists this ribosomal RNA (947 nucleotides) under Bacillus pumilus. RNAcentral's name for it is "bacterial SSU rRNA". It matches the Rfam family "Bacterial small subunit ribosomal RNA", at positions 410 to 1359 of the family's 1533-position model. The record is from RNAcentral. Lineage: Bacteria; Bacillati; Bacillota; Bacilli; Caryophanales; Bacillaceae.
GAAGGUUUUCGGAUCGUAAAGCUCUGUUGUUAGGGAAGACAGUGGAGAGUAACUGCUCGCACCUUGACGGUACCUAACCAGAAAGCCACGGCUAACUACGUGCCAGCAGCCGCGGUAAACGUAGGUGGCAAGCGUUGUCCGGAAUUAUUGGGCGUAAAGGGCUCGCAGGCGGUUUCUUAAGUCUGAUGUGAGCCCCCGGCUCAACCGGGGAGGGUCAUUGGACACUGGGAAUCUUGAGUGCAGAAGAGGAGAGUGUAAUUCCUCGUGUAGCGGUGAAAUGCGUAGAGAUGUGGAGGAACACCAGUGGCGAAGGCGACUCUCUGGUCUGUAACUGACGCUGAGAGCGAAAGCGUGGGGAGUGAACAGGAUUAGAUACCCUGGUAGUCCACGCCGUAACCGAUGAGUGGUAAGUGUUAGGGGGUUUCCGCCCCUUAGUGCUGCAGCUAACGCAUUAAGCAUUCCGCCUGGGGAGUACGGUCGCAAGACUGAAACUCAAGGAAUUGCCGGGGGCCCGCACAAGCGGUGGAGCAUGUGGUUUAAUUGGAAGCAACAGGAAGAACCUUACCAGGUCUUGACAUCCUCUGACAACCCUAGGAUAGGGCUUUCCCUUCGGGGACAGAGUGACAGGUGGUGCAUGGUUGUCGUCAGCUCGUGUCGUGAGAUGUUGGGUUAAGUCCCGCAACGAGCGCAACCCUUGAUCUUAGUUGCCAGCAUUCAGUUGGGCACUCUAAGGUGCAUGCCGGUGACAAACCGGAGGAAGGUGGGGAUGUCGUCAAAUCAUCAUGCCCCCUAUGGCAAGGGCUACACACGUGCUACAAUGGACAGAACAAAGGGCUGCAAGACCGCAAGGUUUAGCCAAUCCCAUAAAUCUGUUAUCAGUUCGGAUCGCAGUCUGCAACUCGACUGCGGAAGCGGAAUCGCUAGUAAUCGCUGUCAGCUGCCUCAGG